Molecule: ribosomal RNA, 435 nt
Filed under: uncultured bacterium
Lineage: Bacteria
Description: partial 16S ribosomal RNA
Rfam family: Bacterial small subunit ribosomal RNA
Source: RNAcentral
GAUGAACGCUGGCGGUAUGCUUAACACAUGCAAGUCGAACGGACUCUUCGGAGUUAGUGGCGGACGGGUGAGUAACGCGUGAGAAUCUGGCUUUGGGUUCGGGACAACCACUGGAAACGGUGGCUAAUACCGGAUGUGCCGAGAGGUAAAAGAGAAAUUGCCUGAAGAUGAGCUCGCGUCUGAUUAGCUAGUUGGUGAGGUAAAGGCUCACCAAGGCAGCGAUCAGUAGCUGGUCUGAGAGGAUGACCAGCCACACUGGGACUGAGACACGGCCCAGACUCCUACGGGAGGCAGCAGUGGGGAAUUUUCCGCAAUGGGCGAAAGCCUGACGGAGCAAUACCGCGUGAGGGAAGAAGGCUCUUGGGUUGUAAACCUCUUUUCUUAGCGAAGAACAAAAUGACGGUACCUAAGGAAUCAGCAUCGGCUAACUCCGUG